AUUGAACGCUGGCGGCAGGCUUAACACAUGCAAGUCGAACGAGUGGCGGACGGGUGAGUAAUGUCUGGGAAACUGCCUGAUGGAGGGGGAUAACUACUGGAAACGGUAGCUAAUACCGCAUACUAUCGGAUGUGCCCAGAUGGGAUUAGCUAGUAGGUGGGGUAAAGGCUCACCUAGGCGACGAUGCCUAGCUGGUCUGAGAGGAUGACCAGCCGACCUGAGAAUGAGACACGGUCCGACCUCCUACAGGAGGCAGCAGUGGGAAAUAUUGCACAAUGGGCGCAGGCCUGAUGCAGCCGUGCCGCGUGUAGGGAGAAGGCCCUAGGGUUGUAAAGUACUUUCGGUCGGGAGGCGUUACCGACUGAAGAAGCACCGGUUAACUCCGUGCCAGCAGCCGCGGUAAUUC
Molecule: ribosomal RNA, 406 nt
Filed under: uncultured bacterium
Lineage: Bacteria
Description: partial 16S ribosomal RNA
Rfam family: Bacterial small subunit ribosomal RNA
Source: RNAcentral